Molecule: ribosomal RNA, 258 nt
Filed under: uncultured bacterium
Lineage: Bacteria
Description: partial 16S ribosomal RNA
Rfam family: Bacterial small subunit ribosomal RNA
Source: RNAcentral
UACGGAGGGUGCAAGCGUUAUCCGGAUUCACUGGGUUAAAGGGUGCGUAGGUGGGUUGGUAAGUCAGUGGAUGAAAUCUCCGUGCUUAACAUGGAAACUGCCAUUUAGAUACUACUGAUCGUUGGAAAUUUUCAGGAGGUAAGCGGAAUAUGUCAUGUAGCGGUGAAAUGCUUAGAUAUGACAUAGAACACCAAUUGCGAAGGCAGCUUACUACAGGAAUAUUGACACUGAUGCACGAAAGCGUGGGGAUCAAACAGG